GGUUAGAGUUAUUAUUUUUUUUUUUGUAACAAAAUUGUCGAUAAACGGUGUAACUUUUAAAUUAGAUAGGUUAGGGUUAUUUUUUUUUUUUGUAACAAAACUAUGUCUACAAACGGUGUAAUUUUUAAAUUAGAUAGGUAUGGGUUUCUCUCGGUCUCUUUCUGAAGUCAGAUUUUUUCAGAAAAAUUAUUCAUGUCAUGUUUUUCACUUCAUUAUAUUUUAUUUAUUUAUUGUCAUAUAGAAUGAACUAAAAUAUUGAGUAUUUUUCGUUUAUAACAGUAAAUAAUUAAAAAUAAAAUAUAUUUAAUUAAAAAAUAUAAUAUGAAACAAGGCUGUAUGGUGUAAGACCUUUGCCUUUACAGUUAUUUAAACAAAAACAAUGAAUUUGUGCUUAUAUUGUUUUAGAACGAAACGAUAAG
Molecule: unclassified non-coding RNA, 419 nt
Filed under: Melitaea cinxia (Glanville fritillary)
Lineage: Eukaryota; Metazoa; Arthropoda; Insecta; Lepidoptera; Nymphalidae
Description: misc RNA ENSMCXG00005000789.1
Source: RNAcentral